This 250-nucleotide ribosomal RNA is filed under the name uncultured bacterium. Its description in RNAcentral is "partial 16S ribosomal RNA". It matches the Rfam family "Bacterial small subunit ribosomal RNA", at positions 524 to 773 of the family's 1533-position model. The record is from RNAcentral.
UACAGAGGGUGCAAGCGUUAAUCGGAAUUACUGGGCGUAAAGGGUGCGUAGGUGGUUAAUUAAGUCAGACGUGAAAUCCCAAGGCUUAACCUUGGAAAGUCGUUUGAAACUGAUUGGCUAGAGAACAGAAGAGGGAAGUGGAAUUUCCGGUGUAGCGGUGAAAUGCGUAGAUAUCGGAAGGAACAUCAGUGGCGAAGGCGACUUCCUGGUCUGUGACUGACACUGAGGCACGAAAGCGUGGGGAGCGAAC